GCUUGUUUCUAUCAUGUAGACUGAAAGUGAUUUAAUUAAAAAAGUAAAUUUGAUGUAAUUAAGUUCCUUCAAAACAGGAAAAGGAAAUGGAUUCAAAAAUUCAAAAUGCUGAAUAACGGUCCAAAGUUCAGUAGAAGAAAUCUCAGUGGAGGGAACAUCGGCUGGCAUGGCGUCUUUUCAGUAGCACUAAUAAAGACCUUCAAAGUGAAAAGAUUGAUUCCCGUGGUGAUUCACCGUGGACCCACUACACUUGAUGUAUGUACAGCUGGACGUGGAACGUAAUGAUGCAGAGGCUGGACGAGAAGACAUUAUUAAAGGAGCGUGUGUUUACAUGGAUGAAGAUCCAGAAAACCUGGUCCAGGAAUAUGUGGUAUGUAUAUAUUUGCACGUGAAUCAUAGCUUAAUUUUCUCUUUCUUUGUUGUUUAUUUAAGAUUUUUUUUCAA
Molecule: long non-coding RNA, 444 nt
Organism: Oryzias melastigma (Indian medaka)
Lineage: Eukaryota; Metazoa; Chordata; Actinopteri; Beloniformes; Adrianichthyidae
Exons: 3
Source: RefSeq, a predicted model, not a curated record